CAGUCGCCACGGGAAUACGGAGGGUGCAAGCGUUACUCGGAAUCACUGGGCGUAAAGGACGCGUAGGCGGAUUAUCAAGUCUCUUGUGAAAUCUAACGGCUCAACCGUUAAACUGCUUGGGAAACUGAUAAUCUAGAGUAAGGGAGAGGCAGAUGGAAUUCUUGGUGUAGGGGUAAAAUCCGUAGAUAUCAAGAAGAAUACCUAUUGCGAAGGCGAUCUGCUGGAACUUAACUGACGCUAAUGCGUGAAAGCGUGGGGAGCGAACAGGAUUAGAUACCCCAGUAGUCCCUGUCUCUUAUAU
This 301-nucleotide ribosomal RNA is filed under the name uncultured bacterium. RNAcentral describes it as "partial 16S ribosomal RNA". It matches the Rfam family "Bacterial small subunit ribosomal RNA", at positions 509 to 809 of the family's 1533-position model. The record is from RNAcentral.